RNAcentral lists this ribosomal RNA (467 nucleotides) under Salmonella enterica. RNAcentral's name for it is "partial 23S ribosomal RNA". It matches the Rfam family "Bacterial large subunit ribosomal RNA", at positions 774 to 1239 of the family's 2925-position model. Lineage: Bacteria; Pseudomonadati; Pseudomonadota; Gammaproteobacteria; Enterobacterales; Enterobacteriaceae. The record is from RNAcentral. RNAcentral also lists the same sequence under 1 other name.
CCGAACCGACUAAUGUUGAAAAAUUAGCGGAUGACCUGUGGCUGGGGGUGAAAGGCCAAUCAAACCGGGAGAUAGCUGGUUCUCCCCGAAAGCUAUUUAGGUAGCGCCUCGUGAAUUCAUCUCCGGGGGUAGAGCACUGUUUCGGCUAGGGGGCCAUCCCGGCUUACCAACCCGAUGCAAACUGCGAAUACCGGAGAAUGUUAUCACGGGAGACACACGGCGGGUGCUAACGUCCGUCGUGAAGAGGGAAACAACCCAGACCGCCAGCUAAGGUCCCAAAGUCAUGGUUAAGUGGGAAACGAUGUGGGAAGGCCCAGACAGCCAGGAUGUUGGCUUAGAAGCAGCCAUCAUUUAAAGAAAGCGUAAUAGCUCACUGGUCGAGUCGGCCUGCGCGGAAGAUGUAACGGGGCUAAACCAUGCACCGAAGCUGCGGCAGCGACACUGUGUGUUGUUGGGUAGGGGAGCGU